GCACGAGUGAGUUUUUCAAAGACCUCAAAAUAGCACGAGUCCGAAGGACGAGUGCUGUUUGAGGUAUUUGAAAAACUCACGAGUGC
RNAcentral lists this microRNA precursor (86 nucleotides) under Paramuricea clavata. The record is from RNAcentral. Lineage: Eukaryota; Metazoa; Cnidaria; Anthozoa; Malacalcyonacea; Plexauridae.